Molecule: non-coding RNA, 244 nt
Filed under: Gemella haemolysans
Lineage: Bacteria; Bacillati; Bacillota; Bacilli; Caryophanales; Gemellaceae
Description: T-box sequence
Rfam family: T-box leader
About the family: Uncharged tRNA acts as the effector for transcription antitermination of genes in the T-box leader family.
Source: RNAcentral
AAUUACACUUUGAAAAGAAGAGUAAUAGUUGAUAUUUGCUUAGAGAGUCUCGUUGGGUGAAAAGAGAUCAAAUUUGAUACUAUGAAGAUGGUCUUUUCGUGUUAGUAGUUGAAUAGUUAAACUGCUACGGGUAGCCCGUUAUAGCUAAGAGUAUUGAGAUUUAAUUUUUUAGUACUUUUUGAGAUAGUAUUUGUGAAAAUACUAUAAAUCAAGGUGGUAACACGUCUAUAGAUACGUCCUUGUG